CUAUAAAGGUCUCAGAGUGGAGCCUACCCUGGAAAAGUAGGCCUCCAGUGCAGGAGAUGAAAAGGUAAUUGCUGUGUUGUGGAGUUCUGUCUUCUUUCUUCACUGAUAUCCAUCUUUACUACACCUACUAGUGUUGCAGUCAUCUUGAGUUAGUGGCUCAAAGUAAACUUAGACCCAGACUAUUGAAAGAAAUCUUCACUUUCUAAUCAUUGUCAGACUGGCAGAGACACGUGGACACUGGAGAUAUGGAAGCGCCAAUAAGGAAGAAGAGGCACAGCAAACUCUAGACUGGAAGGUCACAGGGUCCAACCUGAACCCAUCUGUCAAUUACACUGGUCUUUGUAUUGUAUGUGGCAAUAUAGUAUAUAAGCGGUCCCCACCUAGAUGGACAGGACGCCCUCUGGUACUCGGUACUCCACUUAAAUGCCAGCCAAAUUAUAAAUUGGGCUCUUUUGUUCAUAAAAUGGUACCAAGCAAACAUACCGGACAUGAUAUUAUUAAAAACCCACUUGUAUAGCACAAUUCUAAAUUCUUUUUGGUGCUCAGGACUCUUUGCCAGGCAUUUGGAGCUCACAAGAUUAAAAAGGCAGUUUGAAUCUCUCCAUGGUACAAUAAUAUCACCGUGUAAGUAAGCACUGGGAGCACUUUAGUUAGAAAUCAACAAACUAGCCUCUGUUGUAUCUGAAAAACUGCUGCCUCCUGGAUGCCCUGACAGCCCAAUAAGGAGGAGCUUGUGUGAUUAUUGGUGCAAAUGCUUCUCACCCAGGGCAAGUAGAAACUGUGAUCUAUACUAAAAGAUAAGAUAAAUAUUUGCCAUCAAAUUAAUGAAGACCUAUUUCCAAGAAUGGGAGACUGGUUUAAUGGGGUGUGGAAUAAUGUGCUUAGAUCUGUUCUUUUCUACUUAGUCCUUCUCAGUCUAAUCUAUGUUCUUGUCUCCAUUUUCAGAUCUCUUAUUACUUCACUGCUAACCAGUUGCCACAGCUACCACCUUAGCUUAUAAUGUGUGAAACUUCUAGGAGAGUUCCAGACAGAGGGAAUGAAGGAGCUCAGGAAAUUUCACCCCAAAAUAUGAACUGUUGGUAUAAAGAAAAUUUGAAUUGCAGAGCCCUAGAGAUCAACAAAGCAUUGGAGAGAGCUUUCUCUCUGUCUGCAUAAACUGGGCUGACCUCAUCAAAAGAUCAAAGGAGAGAUUGACUGCCUUUCCUCUCCAUGUUAUCUCAAUAUAUUGCAGGAAAGAAGAAGAUGAAAAAUGCAAGCAGACAUGGCCCAAAUUAUUUAAAACACCAUACCUGUCUCUCAGUUUAAUUUAAUUUGCAAAGAGAAUCAUUUACAAAUUAAUCUGUCUCCCCCAUCUAUUUGUCCACCUAGCACCAUUUGUCACCUCUAAACAGAAUUACCUAUACUACACAUUUCCCCUCCCCUACAAAAACACGUAUAUAAAAAUAUCUGAACUUCACUGGGAUAUUGGGUAAUCACUAUGUGAUUCUACCCAUG
Molecule: non-coding RNA, 1494 nt
Organism: Microcebus murinus (gray mouse lemur)
Lineage: Eukaryota; Metazoa; Chordata; Mammalia; Primates; Cheirogaleidae
Source: RefSeq, a predicted model, not a curated record